UGAACGCUGGCGGAAUGCUUUACACAUGCAAGUCGAACGGCAGCACGGGGGCAACCCUGGUGGCGAGUGGCGCACGGGUGAGUAAUACAUCGGAACGUAUCCUAGAGUGGGGGAUAGCCCGGCGAAAGCCGGAUUAAUACCGCAUACGCUCGAAAGAGGAAAGUGGGGGAUCGUAAGACCUCACGCCCAAGGAGCGGCCGAUGCCGGAUUAGCUUGUUGGUGAGGUAAAAGCUCACCAAGGCGACGAUCCGUAGCUGGUCUGAGAGGACGACCAGCCACACUGGGACUGAGACACGGCCCAGACUCCUACGGGAGGCAGCAGUGGGGAAUUUUGGACAAUGGGGGAACCCUGAUCCAGCCAUUCCGCGUGAGUGAAGAAGGCCU
This 384-nucleotide ribosomal RNA is filed under the name uncultured bacterium. RNAcentral's name for it is "bacterial SSU rRNA". It matches the Rfam family "Bacterial small subunit ribosomal RNA", at positions 30 to 417 of the family's 1533-position model. The record is from RNAcentral.